This 253-nucleotide ribosomal RNA is filed under the name uncultured bacterium. Its description in RNAcentral is "partial 16S ribosomal RNA". It matches the Rfam family "Bacterial small subunit ribosomal RNA", at positions 524 to 776 of the family's 1533-position model. The record is from RNAcentral.
UACGUAGGUGGCAAGCGUUGUCCGGAAUUAUUGGGCGUAAAGCGCGCGCAGGCGGUCCUUUAAGUCUGAUGUGAAAGCCCACGGCUCAACCGUGGAGGGUCAUUGGAAACUGGGGGACUUGAGUGCAGGAGAGAAGAGUGGAAUUCCACGUGUAGCGGUGAAAUGCGUAGAGAUGUGGAGGAACACCAGUGGCGAAGGCGACUCACUGGACCGGAACUGACGCUGAGGCGCGAAAGCGUGGGGAGCAAACAGG